RNAcentral lists this ribosomal RNA (450 nucleotides) under uncultured bacterium. RNAcentral's name for it is "partial 16S ribosomal RNA". It matches the Rfam family "Bacterial small subunit ribosomal RNA", at positions 338 to 795 of the family's 1533-position model. The record is from RNAcentral.
CCUACGGGUGGCAGCAGUGAGGAAUUUUGCGCAAUGGCCGCAAGGCUGACGCAGCAACGCCGCGUGGGUGAUGAAGGCCUUCGGGUCGUAAAGCCCUGUCAGGUGGGAAGAAAGGUUUCAAGGAGAAACACUUGGGAUUUUACGGUACCACCAGAGGAAGCACCGGCUAACUCCGUGCCAGCAGCCGCGGUUAUACGGAGGGUGCGAGCGUUACGCGGAAUUACUGGGCGUAGAGAGCGAGUUCGGAUGUGAAAGCCCUGGGCUUAACCUGGGAAGUGCAUUGGAAACUGCAUGUCUUGAGUACUGGAGAGGAAGGGGGAAUUCCCGGUGUAGCGGUGAAAUUCGUAGAGAUCGGGAGGAAUACCAGUGGCGUAGGCGCCCUUCUGGACGGUUACUGACGCUGAGACGCGAAAGCGUGGGGAGCAAACAGGAUUAGAUACCCCAGUAGUC